This 202-nucleotide unclassified non-coding RNA is filed under the name uncultured fungus. Its description in RNAcentral is "sequence contains ITS1". The stretch from base 1 to 92 matches the Rfam family "5.8S ribosomal RNA", at positions 50 to 154 of the family's 154-position model. The record is from RNAcentral. Lineage: Eukaryota; Fungi.
GAAAUGCGAUACUUAAUGGAAAUUGCAUACGUGAGUCAUCGAGUUUUUGAACGCACAUUGCGCCGCGCAGCGGCACGUGGGAGUGAGCGUCAAUCGUAAGAUUGUGACUUCAAUCGAUUCACUAAAUACAUGGCAGGCACAUUGAAUGGUGCUGAAGCAAAAAUUUUGACCUCAUUCUCACGGGGACACCCGCUGAACUUAA